This 2914-nucleotide long non-coding RNA is filed under the name Marmota monax (woodchuck). Lineage: Eukaryota; Metazoa; Chordata; Mammalia; Rodentia; Sciuridae. The record is from RNAcentral.
UGAAUUUUGAUUUAUUGUACACAAUUGCAGCACAACUUUUCAUUUGUCUGGUUGUACACGAUGUAGUGUUACACCAUAUGUGCAGUCAUACAUGUACCCAGGGUAAUGAUGUCCAUCUCAUUCCACCAUUCACUUUAAGAAUUCAGAUCCAUACUAACACACAUUCUCUCUCUCUCUCUCUCUCUCUCUCUCUCUCACACACACACACACACACACACACACAAACACACACGCAAUGUGGAUAGCUUUUGUUUGGUAUACAGAAAUUAAUCUGGAGAUUUCUAUUGCAUAAGUCACCAAGAAGACAAUUCCACAAAGAGUGGAUCAGAGAUUCAAGGAAAGAAAGCUUUGAAAAACAUUUUAACAAUGAAAACUUCAAAACUGCAUUGGAAGAGAAAUUUUCAAGGAAUGGAAACUAAUAGUUUGGCUUUACCCUUUAUGUGGCAAGUAGCUAAAUUAUGUUGGUUGUGUUCUAAUGUUCUCCUUUCAGGGUUAUAUGGGCAGACAGAUUGUAAACUGCCAAUCUGACUCCUGGCCAAAGGCAGAUUGGAGUUUGUACCUUUGCAAUGUGUGGUAUAAUUCUCAGUCUUUUCCAUAAUCUGUCUCUUCAUUUUUUCCCAUUAAGUUCCUAAAAUUAAAAUGCCCAACUUUGCACUCAACAGCUGUAUACUUCAGAAAAUCUGGUCUCUGGACUUUGCAGUAUCAGGUCCUUUCACUCCUGUUUUGUCAACCUUUUCCUGCACAUGUUUUUCCUUCAGAAAAUUAAUAUGCUCAAAUUUCUCCUUCAUAUAAAUAGAAGGAUUCUUCUUUCUCCACAAGUCUUUCUCUUUUUGGCCUUCAUGCUCUCUCUGUCCUGGUUCUCCUCCUACACUUCUGCAAUUCCUUCUGUGUUUUAGACAAGCUUCCCUAUUUGCCCAGUGUUGUUCACAAAAUAGUUGUUUUUGGUGAUCUUACUGUGCAUAUUCUUCUGAUUAUUCAAUGCAUUCAUUUUUAUUCCAUGAUCUACAUUUUUAUUUCUGUAAAAAUUGCUAUCCCUGAAUUUCUUCAAGCUUCUAGUUCAUAUAUCUCAUCAUUUACAUCUCUUUCUGGGUUUUCCUGGGAAAUACUCAAAUUCAGUAUGUACCAAAAAUAGCUAUUUUUUUCCUCCUGCAUCUAAGCACAUGGCACUGGCCAUCUGUUCACUUAGUCAUGUCAGAAACCUAAAAACUCUUUACCUCUUCAUUCAAUCUUCACAUAGAUUUCUGAGCUUCAUUGAUUCUCUUUUUUGAUAUUUUGCAAUUUCAUCUCAUUAUAUAAUACUUAAUACUUAGUUUAGAUUCUCAUUGGUCAUUUGAUUAUUGCUUAAUUGUUUUUCUUUCCCUGGUCUUAGCACUGAAGAAGAUUCAGAAUUUUCUGACUCAAACACAAAUCUGACCAUGUGUCUAUGCUACUAAAACCCUUCAAUAAUUUGUAUUAUACAAAUGAUAGGCCAAAAGUCUUUUAAAGGUGAAACAAUGUUUCAGUCCUAAUAUGAACUUCCAAAACUUGUCAGUUCCCAGUCAUUAUUUGAAUCCUAAUCCUCUCUCACUGAAACUUGAUGGGUCACUGUGACUGCUUUGGGAAAAAGAAGUGGUUCUCUUUAAAUUCUGAGGUUAAGAAAAAAAAGCAAUACAUUUCCUUCUGUCUCUAUCUUCAGAUAUUCAUUUAUGGAAACCAAUCACUAAUGUGAACCCAGGUAGUGUGGAGGGGCCACAGAUAGGUGUCAUGGCAAGAAGCCUCAGUGAAGAUUCAGAUUGUAAGCUGGUAUCAGUGAUGAUCCUGUGAGUGAUCACAUGUGAGUGAAUGGACCUGACAAUAAUCAGUUUCUAGGGAUUGUCACUGCCAGUCUUUAAAUCUUCCAGUCUUAGAUUGUGUGGAUUAGGAUAAACCAAAACAACAGCAACAACAACAAAAACAUUGUAACCCAUUCCCUCUGGGGAUUCCUGAUAUAUAAAAUUAGUGAACAUAAUCAAUGGUUUGAAAAAUUUUGUUAUGGAGGAAUAAGUAAUCAGAGUAAUUUUCUCCAUGAUUGACUAACUUCUUUGUCUUAUGAAUUCAUGUGCUUAGGAGUUGCUACACUGUGAUCUGAUCAUGUUGGAGUAAAAGUAGGUUUUUUUAAAUUGGUCAAGCUUCAUGUUUACUGAAAGCAUGUUUAAAUCUCUCAUGAAUGCAAGUAUGUUUCAAUGUUAGCAAAUCUAUCAAGGGAUCAAAGGACCCAUUUUAUCUCUAGAAAUUAUUUUUCUUAAAUUGCUUUAAGGUUUUAGUUAUGCAUAUAGUCACAUCAAACAUUUGUGUUAAUAUUCAUAUUUGCAUACUCUUAUUUUCAACCUGUAUGUAUAUUUUGUUUAACAUAUAUCUUUGUGAAUAACACAGAGUUGAAAAAUUUUAAAAUCCAGUCUAAAAAUUUUUUUAAGAGUAAUAAUCACCUCAUUGACUUUAGUUCUUAUCAUCCAUAUCUUUUUUUCCUUUUAUCUUGUGAUUACUUUUACUCAUAUUUCUUCUUAUUUUUAGGUUUUAUGCUUUGAUAGAGAUUGAAUACUUUUUUAUUCUGUUUCUUACUUUCCAUGUUUUGAAAUGAUACUCUUUUUUUUUAAAUGUUUUUGUGGUUACCACAGAAAUUACAGCAUGCCUACUUCAUUUUUUAAAAAGUACAGAAUUGAUGACUUUUCUAAUACCACAAAAUGUGCUACUAUUGUGCAAUAAGUCUAAAUAUUUCACUUCCAAAUAUUUUAAAUUCUUAUUAUUUUACAAAACUGAUAUUUUAUUGUUUGGCAGAAUUCCUUUAAAUGUGAUACUUUUGUCUUUAACUUUACCCCACAUAUCUUUAAAUAUGUCUUUAUAUUCUAUAUGAUUUUGUAUUUCUAUACUAUGUUCCAUGUAGAUUUUUAAAGUCUCU